AAAUAGUAUUUAAUUAUUUAUUGAAACUUAAAUAUUUUGGCGGUAUUUUAGUUUAUUUAGAGGAAUCUGUUUAUUAAUUGAUAAUUCACGAGUAAAUUUACUUAAUUUAUUAUUUUGUAUAUCAUUGUUAAAAAAAUAUUUUUUUAUGAUAAUAAUAUUUUAAAAUUAUAAUAAAAAUUAAAUCAAAUCAAGAUGCAGAUUAUAAUUAAGAAUAUGAUGGAUUACAAUAAAUUUAUUUAUAUGAAUUUUAAUUUGUAAUAAUUAAAUAAAGGCGGAUUUAAAUGUAAUUUUAUUUAUUUUAAUAAAAUGAUU
This 312-nucleotide ribosomal RNA is filed under the name Psodos alticolaria. RNAcentral describes it as "partial 12S ribosomal RNA". The record is from RNAcentral. Lineage: Eukaryota; Metazoa; Arthropoda; Insecta; Lepidoptera; Geometridae.